Molecule: non-coding RNA, 6556 nt
Organism: Taeniopygia guttata (zebra finch)
Lineage: Eukaryota; Metazoa; Chordata; Aves; Passeriformes; Estrildidae
Source: RefSeq, a predicted model, not a curated record
CACCGCGCCGCCACCCCAAGCGCUGCCUCCGCGGGGGGCGCUUCGCCGUCCUCACCUUUCCCGAGGGGCUCCGGGCUUGCGGGACCCGAGCGGCGCCGAUCCCGGAGCCGGCGAGGCUGUGUACUGACGUGUCACCAAGUUGCAACAUGGAAAAUACAGUGUCAUGCAUAUGUCCAGGUGGUUUAAAUCAUCCUGCCUGCCAAAAGCACAAGGCACAGCCCUGCCCUGCCUGUUGAGCCCUGUUCCUGCUGCUACGCUGCCCACCUCACCUUCUGCCAGCACGGUGUUUGCAUGGCUGCACAGGGAAUUGGGCUGUGCAGGAGAAGCUACUGCAGAGAAAAUAAAUCAGUUCUCACUCAGAGCAGAAUGCAGAUCACAAGGCAAUUGCACAAAGACUUGUGCCAGCACAAAGGCAGGAAAGGAGCAAGGGCUGAUAAAAGCAGCUGAGAGAGGAUGGAGCCUGGAAGUGCUUUUUAAGCAAUGUUUAUGCCAGCUUAAACUGUAUGUGAAACUCUAGACACAGAUAAUUUGGAAGUGGACACCUGCUCUGUAUUUUUCAAUUCUCCUUCAAGACUGGCCCAGAGUUCAUCUCAGGCUUAACACAGAAGUUUCUUUGAAGCACGGCUGCUUCUUUGGUUGCUAUGGCUUGCUUCCAUUUCUAGAUUAAAAAAUUGGCCAGAAAACAUGGUGGAAGUCAUGCCCGGGAUAUACUGGGAAGGUUGUACACACUGCUGUAGGACAUGUAACACUGGUGUAUGCUAGUGUUAAUCUAGCUAGUUUGAUCAAUGUUAGCUGUAACUACAUGGUGUCAUUAGGUUUAUGCCAUUUGUUUCAUCAGUUUUGUAAUCUGAAGAGGUGAAAAAUGGCUCACCUGAAAGCCCUCUCUACAUUAUUUUUGCUUGCUUUCCAGAAUGAAAUACGUGCAGGUAUGUCUGCACAUGCUGCAAUCACACACCCCUGCAGUUACACCCCAAGACAUAACUAGCAGGAUUAGUUUCAUGACUAAAAGACAACUUGCAUGCCAAAAGACAACUUGCAUGACAAGUACUAGCCAAAAUAAGCUGCCUUUUCUCUUUCUGGGUGAUAGCAAGUGGAAAAUCUAAGGAAUUGUCUUUGGAAUUGGCUUAGAGGCGAUCUUGCCAUUCCUGGUGUACAUGAGGGGGUGAGUGUACACCCACAAACACCAGCAUGAUGCUACAUGCAGUCCCCAUGCUCACACAGCCGGGACUGUGAUUCCUGUUUCUUCAGCAGCCCAGUCUUUGGUGUCCUGUGGGAAAUGGCUUCUUGUCCUUCAUGGGAAAUGAAGAAAGAGCUUGUACCAGCUAUCAGCCAUCUAUGAGAUUCAUCUUUGUUGUUGUUUUCUUACCUGUUGGGUUUUUUAAAUAUUUUUUUUUAAAUAACGGUUUUAUGAAAGUGCCUAUAUGGUAUAUUUAACAUGAAAUUAUAAAUAUACUAUUAAAUAUCAAUUAAUUGUAGAAGUAUUAAGCACAAAAUUAUUUAACAUAGACCAGAAUGAUUAAAUACAGACAUGUGGCAGAAUAUGCCUGUGUGCAAUGGGUGUGGAUCAAGUACCUGCUUUGUGCAAAAUGGUUUUCAGAACUGGCAGGUUACAGCUUGUACAGUGUCUUUUGAUCAGGCAUGUGUUCAGUGUAAAAAGAACAUGUAACUGCUACAAAAAUGUCAAUAUAAUUAGUAAUAAGAUAGCCAUGGGAUAGCAAAAUAUUAACAAGAAAUCCAAUUCUUGAUUGUUUUACAAGAAUGGUUUUCUUAUCUUUUUCUGGCACCACAAUUUUUAGCCGAUCAUUAUACUCAGCUGUAAUCCACUCACUAGUACUCUGCUCAGCUGCCAUUUCAUUACAUACUUUAAAUUGUAAAUAUAUAUAGCUCAUACUCCUUCUUACAUUAAAUUUUCUGGUCCAAUGGACUUAAUUUGUUGUUCUAAUUUUGGCAGAUUUUUUUCUCUAAAAUGUAAUUCAGCUUACUACUGUUUUCUUUGUUUUAGAGCUGUACUGAAUUUAUUGUAGCUGUGCCCAUUUGUCUUUUCCAAGCUCCACUGAAGUAACAGUCCCUUCAUUUCUCUGAAUUUUUUUCCAAAUAGAUUGCUCAGUCACAGAGAGUUGGGGAGAGGCAGGCACAAUUCCACCACCUCUGAGGACCACCAAAGGAAAAUAACAAAACAGAACUUUCAACAAAUGAUUUAAAGUAUACUAUAAUAUUUUCUUUCUAAAAAACAAUUAUUAAUAUUUAUGUCAUUUACCUUUCUUCUAAAGUAAACGCAGGUACCGGAAUAAUGAAAAUUUUGGCCACCAUUGGCAGAGAAUUGGUUUGAAUUACAAAGAAAAUAUUAACUCCUUUUAAUGAUGUACUGUAGUAUACAGUAGCUUACAGUUUUUGCUACUUACUUAAUCCACUGGACAUUAAUUAGAAAAAAAAUCUGUCUAUUGGAGAUCUACUUUUUUUUCUCUUUGUAUUUAGAUAUUAAAUAAGACUAGAAAAUGUCCAUAAUAUUAGACUGCCUCAGAAAAACCAUUACUGUAGACAAAUCUGUUUAGCUGUAUCAUCUCUGUCCCCUUUCCUGUGAUUCCAAAUAGAGGUAAUCAACUCCCCCAAAACACAAGCACAGUUAUUAACAGUUUCUAGUUAUGACAGGAAGGAAACAAAAAUCCCUGUAAACCUAUAACUAGUUACUGGCAACAGUGCUAACUGAUCAGGAGCACCACAAAGAAGUUACAUGCCAGACAAGAGGAACAGGAGAAACACUAGGGCAGGAAUUACAAAUGGAAGGAAAUGUUGUAUUUCAAACAGACACUAGACAGCAACCUGCCAGUACUGCAGCCCUCAAGGGUCAGUCCUACAGAGAAUGAGGACAUCUAAAGAAAACCCAAGGCAAAACUGUCUCUCUGUUAUCUGAGAACAUCCACAAUGCUGCCGACAGUAGUCCUGUGCAGAAAUAAUGUACACCUGUGAAAAAACACAAAGAGUCGGCAAAUACAGAUAGCAGGUUCACUUGCUGGCUCGGACAGCAUCUGAAGAAAGAACUAUUUAAAAACACAAGAGGUGGUGUUAUAAUGAGGAAACCAUGGAGAGCAGAAAGCUUAUGAUUAUUGACAGAAGUUGAUAAAGAAAUGGAUUAUUGUCUGUUAGGAUGUUGGAAUAGCUACUGCUACCAUUAUCCUAUGUAUCUUUAUGUAAAUUUCCUUUAAUUGAGGUAUUCAUUUACAAUCAUUAUUUUCAUUGGUAAUGUGCUUUAUUUGCAUUUGAAAGCAAAAAGAGAAAAAAAAUUAAACACAACUGGCUGACCCCUACCAUGUGAGAAAGGGUUUGCUUUUUGUCACUCUGACCCAAAUGGAUUAGGGCCAGGAAAUAAGGUCAAGCUCUUACCAGUACCCCCAUGUGUCACAUUUUUAUUACAUGGAGUUUCCAAGAAAAAUAUUCCAAUUUGCAUCAGUAAUUAUUCAUUCUUUAUGCAUUAUCAUGUCAGUUUCUGGGUUUAUUUUGAAUUCAGAAAUUAUAUUUGAGUGCCAGGCCUAUUAAAAAGCAACCCUUUGUGAAAUACCCUUCAGCAGUUAGAUGUGAUAGAUUUUGUAGCUGUACAUACUCUUUUUUUCCCUUUUAAGAAUUUCCCCUUCUACAGCAGUCCCCUCAUCACUCGAGUCAUAAACCCCCAAGACCGUGGUUGGAUUAGGCUCCUUUGUGGAUUUGCAAGUUGCUGCCUCAGUCAGAAGAUGUCUGAGGGCUGCAAUUGCUAAAGCAGUGCCCAGGGCAGGUGGGGUGGGAGGCAGUGUCUCGGUGCUGUUGGACAGCACGAGGUACCAGCAUGCAGCGCCGUACCCUGCGUGCUCCUCUAAUGCUGACCACAGAGAGAAGCUUGACGUCAGGUUUUAGCCACCAGCCACAUCAGAGAGCUCCCUGUCCUGUGGGAAUUGGUUGGAGGCAGUGCUGCACCUUUCCAAGAGAGGAGGCAGAAAGGUGAGGCUCCUCUCCAGCCCAGGGCUGCCCAGCUCCACCACACUGCAAUGGGGAGACAUCUAGGGGGUGCCAGGGGUUCCAUGGGCACAGCUACAGUUCUGGACACAGGGCUCCAAAGAUAAGCUGCUAAAGAAGUUUCUGGUUUCACAAUUUUAAUGAUAACUUUUUAAUCUGGUCAUUAUUUUCUUUGAUUGCUAAUACCUUGACCUCUGGUGACUGCUGCUGCUUAUGCCUGCUAAACUUUAAUGCAGGCUACAGUAAAGAACAUUAUGAUUAUUUGAAAAGGCAGAGUGUAAUGCAUUUCAGAUUAACAGCGAAAGAAAAGCUAUUGAAGUUAGAGGUUCACUUUGCCAUAUCACUCUAUGCUGCUUUCCUUAUUAUCAGUACAAAAAAAUGAAAUGAGAAUAGCACAUCUUUUAAUUUCCUUCUACUAUUACCUCUUGAUUUGCAUUCAGAGCUCCCAAAAGAAAUACUGCUGAAUUCAGAAGUAGUCUAUUUAAGCUGCAUGGUGUUUAAAAUUUGCUGGAAGAGGUUAAGGUGCUCUAUAUUAUGCAGUUGACCUUACUAAGAAGCUGUGUUAACAAUUUAGAUUUAUAAUUUUGUUAAUUUUUUUUCCCAAGCAAAAUUCAUUAUCUCUUUUUGUACCCCUGAAGGUUAAAUCUUUUGAUUUCUCUCUAACUUAUUUUGUGAGGUUUCUAAAUUAUAUUUAAAUUUCUUGUACUUAAAAGGCUGCUUUGCCAAUGUCUAUGAAAAGAAGCAUUUUGUUUCUGUCUCUUUUUGUACCUGGUCUGAAGAGACUGUGUGCCCUCACAAUAUUUUACCUAGGAAGAAAGAACCCAAACCCACCAUCUAGAGAGUCCUGCAAAUACAUUUGAAUUCUUUUAUCUGCCACUGUUAUAUCUUUGUGGCUGACUGGGUUUGAACAAGUUGUCCAUGGAAAAUAUUUUGAAUCCUGCCUUUACCAAACAGUUGUAGCCUCCUGGUGUGCAGAAAGAAAUCCUAACAAAUGAACAAAAGUGAAAUGUGCCAGCGUAGGGAGAGCUGUACCCUGUGACUCCUUAGGCUCUGCAGCUCUGAACAGUGGUGUUUGUGUUCUCUACUGCUGCCUGACCAAAAAAAGGCCAGUGGUGGAACCCUGUAAUGCAGAACAUUUUCCAAAAUGCCCAAGGUGUCACCACCCUAGCUCAGUGGUCCCCAGCAGUGGAUAUUUAUUAUGGACACUGCCUCCUGGUCAUAUCUCACCUGAAAACUCAUACUACAGUUAUGACUCUGCCAGUAAAUAAAACAGGACCAGGAGCUCUGGGCUCUGGUCAUGCAGCAGGGACCAGCCAUACCAGCACUGUAUGGCCUGUGACCCUCAGACAUAAUCAUCCUGAUUAGGAUUUAGAACAGGUUUAUGUUUGUUCAGCCUGCAGUGUUGCAGUGAGGAGGGCGCUGUGCUGUAGUGUUUAUGCUGUUCAUGCAAGUGGGUGUGAUGGAGGUGCAGAGCACCUUGGGCCCCACUGGAGGACUGUGGGGGUGGGACAGAGACAGGACAGACAGCUCUGUAGUCUCCCCUGGAAAUGGCCCAGCUGCAUGAUCCCCUGUAAGUAAUGGCUGGACACUCUCCUGCAGGGGUAGCUGGCAUGGGCCGAAACCAGGCCAAGCGCUGCAGCUAAAGCAGGAUGAACCAUGAGCAGAGCGGUGCUGGGACUGCCCAAUCCCUGCAGCCAGGCCUGCAGAGCCAUCUGAGAGUCAGCAGCAAGGCGGUGCCCGCAGUGCAGCAGGAACAAGUCGUGACGCGCAGCUGCGAGCACAGGGUGAAGUCAGGAUGGAUGUUCUGACAUUUCAGUGUUUCUUGAGUUCCUAUUCAUUCUCCACUCUAGUGCAACAGUAGUCCUAAAGCCAAAGCAAUAUAUUGACAGCUGCCCUCCUGUUGUAAAGUCAACACAGGGGGGAAGGGUAGCACAGAUCCUAGAACCAGAUAGUAGUUUUAUUUAUCUAAUCUCUAGGUAUUUAGACAGUGAUUAGAACCAUAGCAACUACCUGAGCCACUUGAAUGAGUUAAAUACAGAGAUAGCAACACUUGUUAUUUAUACAGCACCCUUUAUUGGGAAAUUUUAAAAUGUCAGAUACCUGUGUCAUUGAGUAGGUAAACUGCAUUCAUUUUUUGAUAUGGAGGUGCCAUAAAACCUCUCUUUGUAUCACUGGGACACAACUACAUGAUAGAGACUGUUGGCAACAAAUAAGUAAAACAGUUAGAAGUUCUAAAGAAAAAAAGAAUAAACCAAAGGGAUAAAAACAUACUAAACGGAUGAAGAAUUGGUCUAUACACAGAGCCAAGCCAAAACUUGGCAGCUUUAUAAACCAGCUAACACAGAAAUAAAUGAAAGUCCAAACAAUAGGAACAAACCUGGAAUAAAUAAAAUCAUGAACUCAGAAAUGUUACCAACUGAUUGCAAAGAUAAAAAUGCCUGUUGAAGUAAUUGUGUCCCUGUAGUUUAUUCUACUGCAUACUUUGCUUCUGGGAAGAUUCUGUAUCUGAAAAAGCCAUAUGAAGUAUAUUCAUUGAACAGCACAAAUGGAAAUAAAUAUUUCUCACUUGAAA